Molecule: non-coding RNA, 245 nt
Organism: Biomphalaria pfeifferi
Lineage: Eukaryota; Metazoa; Mollusca; Gastropoda; Planorbidae
Source: the annotation of a GenBank genome assembly
GUGGAACGAUUGUAUACACCUUUCUAAUAGUAAGAGAACACACAAAGAUGGCUUUCAACAUUCCAUGAGAUAAAAAACAUCUUUUUGUCUGAAGCAAUAGGUAGAAGGAAAGCAUGAAUUAACUAUGCGAGAUAUAUGUCAUGAGUUUUGGAAAUUUCCUUUCCAGAAUGUCCCAGCAUUCCCUUUGACCUUUCACUUCAAACGUGAUAAUGUGACUUACAUCCUGGUCUUCAUUAGUCAAAGAU